This 521-nucleotide long non-coding RNA is filed under the name Mytilus galloprovincialis (Mediterranean mussel). The record is from RNAcentral. Lineage: Eukaryota; Metazoa; Mollusca; Bivalvia; Mytilida; Mytilidae.
GCAGGUGGUUAUAUGUGCUAUUUCUGCCCCCGGGAAGCCACUGAUUUAAUUCUAGAACAUAUCCUAUUAUGCCAUAACGAAGUAGGAAAGACAUUUAGUAUUUGUCAAAAACCGUUUGACGAGAAAUUAGUGGCUACAGUUUUCAUGUCACUUCGAUCAUUUUUCAUGGAUGAUAUCACAACUUAAAAGUUAUGAUGAACAAGGGAUAACUUUGAAAAGAGUUUUACAGUGUCAUUUCGGAGUCUUUUAUAGCUGACUAUGCGGUAUGGGCUUUGUUCAUUGUUGAAGACCGUACGAUGACCUAUAUUUGUUAAUUUCUGAGUCAUGUUGGUCUCUUGUGGAAAGUUGUCUCAUUGGCAAACAUACCACAUCUUCUUAUUUAUAUUAGCUACUUCAUGACUGUCACUGAAAUUUCAGUACCUCAGAUAUAAACUAUAAACAACACAAAUUUAAUUUUGAAUUAUGAUAAUAUGACAUCCUUAAAACAUUUAAUGCUAUAUAAGACUAGAGAAAGAUUGGCC